Molecule: ribosomal RNA, 83 nt
Filed under: Campylobacter upsaliensis
Lineage: Bacteria; Pseudomonadati; Campylobacterota; Epsilonproteobacteria; Campylobacterales; Campylobacteraceae
Source: RNAcentral
GUCCGUGAUUAUACAGAUGUGGAAACGCCUUGCUCCAUCCCGAACCAAGAAGCUAAGCACAUCGUGGGUGAUGAUACUACGCC